Molecule: ribosomal RNA, 465 nt
Filed under: uncultured bacterium
Lineage: Bacteria
Description: partial 16S ribosomal RNA
Rfam family: Bacterial small subunit ribosomal RNA
Source: RNAcentral
ACGAACGCUGGCGGCGCUUAACACAUGCAAGUCGAACGGAAAGGCCCUGCUUUUGUGGGGUGCUCGAGUGGCGAACGGGUGAGUAACACGUGAGUAACCUGCCCUUGACUUUGGGAUAACUUCAGGAAACUGGGGCUAAUACCGGAUAGGAGCUCCUGCUGCAUGGUGGGGGUUGGAAAGUUUCGGCGGUUGGGGAUGGACUCGCGGCUUAUCAGCUUGUUGGUGGGGUAGUGGCUUACCAAGGCUUUGACGGGUAGCCGGCCUGAGAGGGUGACCGGCCACAUUGGGACUGAGAUACGGCCCAGACUCCUACGGGAGGCAGCAGUGGGGAAUAUUGCACAAUGGGCGGAAGCCUGAUGCAGCAACGCCGCGUGCGGGAUGACGGCCUUCGGGUUGUAAACCGCUUUCGCCUGUGACGAAGCGUGAGUGACGGUAAUGGGUAAAGAAGCACCGGCUAACUACGUG